UUCCGGUUGAUCCUGCCGGAGGCCACUGCUAUUGGGAUCCGACUAAGCCAUGCGAGUCGAGAGGGUUCGGCCCUCGGCAGACUGCUCAGUAACACGUGGAUAACCUAACCUUAGGUGGAAGAUAACCUCGGGAAACUGAGAAUAAUAUUCCAUAGAUCUAGGAUGCUGGAAUGCAUCUAGAUUGAAAGUUCCGACGCCUAAGGAUGGGUCUGCGGACUAUCAGGUUGUAGUCAGGGUAAAGACCUGACUAGCCUACGACGGAUAUGGGUUGUGAGAGCAAUAGCCCAGAGACGAUAUCUGAGACACGAUAUCGGGCCCUACGGGGCGCAGCAGGCGCGAAAUCUUCACAAUGUGCGAAAGCACGAUGAGGGGAUCCCAAGUGCUGGCACGUAAGUGUCAGCUGUUUCUUAGUCUAAAAAACUGAGAGAGUAAGGGCUGGGUAAGACGGGUGCCAGCCGCCGCGGUAAUACCUGCAGCUCAAGUGGUGGCCGCUAUUAUUGGGCCUAAAACGUCCGUAGCCUGUUUAGUAAAUGCUUGGGUAAAUUGUGUAGCUUAACUAUACGAAUACCGGGUAGACUGCUAAACUUGGGACCGGGAGAGGCUAGAGGUACUCCUGGGGUAGAGGUGAAAUUCUGUAAUCCUAGGGGGACCACCAGUGGCGAAGGCGUCUAGCUAGAACGGGUCUGACGGUGAGGGACGAAGCCCUGGGGCGCAAACCGGAUUAGAUACCCGGGUAGUCCAGGGUGUAAACGCUGCUUGCUUGAUGUUAGUUGGGCUCCGAGCCCAACUAGUGUCGGAGAGAAGUUGUUAAGCAAGCUGCCUGGGAAGUACGGUCGCAAGACUGAAACUUAAAGGAAUUGGCGGGGGAGCACAGCAACGGGUGGAGCGUGCGGGUUUAAUUGGACUCAACGCCGGA
RNAcentral lists this ribosomal RNA (916 nucleotides) under uncultured archaeon. RNAcentral describes it as "bacterial SSU rRNA". It matches the Rfam family "Archaeal small subunit ribosomal RNA", at positions 1 to 922 of the family's 1478-position model. The record is from RNAcentral.